CGGUCCUCCCGCUGGUGGAGGCAGAUCCGCCCCCAGCUCUGCAGGAAGGGGGGUGCGAGGUGACCCCUCCACGGGGGUGAUACCGGGCGGGGGGGGGGUCAUUACCGGGUAGCUGGUUAUUAGCGGGCGGAAGGUGGGUUAUUACCUGUACGCUGGUCAUUCCCGGGCGCUGAAUUCCCGGGGUGGGGGUCAUUCCCGAGCGGUGGGUCAGUGUCGGGGUGGGGGUAAUUCCCAGGCGCUGAAUUCCCGGAGUGGGGGCCAUUCCCAGGCGCUGAUUCCCGGGGUGGGGGUCAUUCCCGAGCGGUGGGUCAUUCCCAAGGCCGGCUGUGGGUUGCAGAGCUCCCGUCCGUGGGGCCGGACAGGCGCAUCCUCCCCAUGCGGGCAGGAGCCCGAGCUGGGCCAUGAGCAACGCCACGGCCCCCACAGCCCCGGGCGCCUCGGGGGACUCGCUGGUGGGCUCCGUGCUGGGGCCCUUCCUCCUCCUCACCCUCCUCGGCGCCCUCCUGGCCGCGGUGAUGUACGUGAAGAAGAAGCGCAGGUCCGACCGGCUCCGGCACCGGCUGCUGCCCAUGUACAGCUACGACCCGGCCGAAGAGCCGCCUGAGUCGGAGCAGGAGCUGCUGGUGGAGGCUGAGGAGGCUCAGGUGGUGCCCGGCUGGGGGGGACCCUCACCCCCUCGUCCCCCGCGCAGGGACUGGAGGGCCUGACUCUGCCUGGAGCACCGGGACCGGAUCCUGCCCGCGGGAGGGGAGGGACGAUGCUCUCAGCACUGGUACCAUCAGCCAGGACGUGCCCGCAGCGGUGCCACAAUUCCACAGCCACUACCCCCACCUGAGCACUGACCAGGACCAGACAUCUCCCACCUCAGUGCCUGGUUUUCCUUUUUUUUUUUUUUUUAAUUUUUUCUUUCCUUUUCUUGGACUUCUCCAGCAGCCCCUUGGAAAGCUCCAGGAGGGCCCACUGGGACUGGCAGGGAGCAGCAGGCUCUGCCAGCACAGGAUGCCUGGGGGAAGACAGGCUCAUCCCCGUGGAUGGAUGGUGGCCAUCACCAGCAGGGAUGUCUCUGUGGAGGAGAUGCCCUUGGAGGAGCCACCCCUGCCCAACCCCUCCGGGGCCCGGGACAGGCAUCACAAACUUCCAUAAAAUGUUUUAUUCAAGUAACUGCAAAUAGGAACCCAAAAGGUCGUUAACAGUGAACCAAAAAAACCCCCAAACCAAACCCCGAUUCUCUCCCGCCGGGGCC
Molecule: RNA transcript, 1243 nt
Organism: Parus major (Great Tit)
Lineage: Eukaryota; Metazoa; Chordata; Aves; Passeriformes; Paridae
Gene: SMIM29
Gene name: small integral membrane protein 29
Exons: 5
Source: RefSeq, a predicted model, not a curated record